Molecule: long non-coding RNA, 1016 nt
Filed under: Homo sapiens (human)
Lineage: Eukaryota; Metazoa; Chordata; Mammalia; Primates; Hominidae
Description: non-protein coding MIR124-2HG:17
Source: RNAcentral
AGAAAGUAGAAGGAGCUCCAAAGGCAGUGAGCGUCUUUCCUUGGGCUGCGUGUGCCGAGCGUAGACAAUGAAAAUCUUCAUCCCCCUCCCCCAUUCUACUAGGCUACAAGAUUCUUGUUUUCGUUCCUUCUCACCGGUGGAAGAUGUGUAAAAUCAAAGAUGUAGAGGUGUGUAGUGAUUUUUUUAAAAGCCAACUAACCACCGCACGGACUGCGACGCGGAUUACCCGAGCGCACGCCGGCUGGGCGCAUUCUGGGGUCUCUGCGCAAGACCAGCUCUCAGCUCUCUCUCCUUUCCUCGGACUCUGGAGCGGGAGCGGGCCUUUCCCUCGGGUCGACCACGCCGUAGGGGACGCCGUGAAAAGAGCCGUCGCGCCCGCUGCCUCCUGCCCGCUGCGCAGAGGGCUCCGCCCGUAGAGGUCAACUUCCCUCACCCUUUUCUCUCUCCUGCUUGCCCUCCCUCCGCCCGGCCCAGGCGCUUCCAGCCCCAGACUGUGGCCACUGGCUGAGGAGUGCGAGUCGGCUGCGCUGCCCUGAGCCUAAUCCCUCUUCCGGGCCCAGACCCGAGGUCCGCGCUCCUGGGCAGUGGGGAAGCUUUAGUGAGCAGGCUUUUCUCUCCGCAGCAAACUUGUAGCCAGACCAGAUGGGCCGCCCAGCUCUCUCGGGACUAGGCAGGUGCGGAUGAGUUAAUUUUUCCGCAUUACAAAGAAAGAUGACCCAGCCCGCCCUUGGACUCUCUUUUCCCAAAAUCUCCCAACCAAACCCGCGGUAACGUUAUCAAAGGACACAGAGCCCAGGCAUAUCUGUGUGUUUAUCUUACAGGCACACACGCAUGGUUUUCUCUUUUAUAUGCUAGAUUUCAUCCCUGACAGCAGAAAAUGAUUGGCAAUGGUUAUGACGGAGAACAUGCAAUAGCGUGGUCCUUAAAAACCUGCCAUUCCUUACAAGUGCCUUAGAAAGGAUUCAGGGCGAACCAACUGGGUUAAUUGCAUUCAGUAAAAUAACACGAUUACAAAA